CCAAAUGUAAUUUUUUGUACAGAAUUUAAACUUAAUUAUUUGUGAAAUCACCGGUAUUUAAACCAGUAUUCAUCUUUCUACUGUAUUUUUAAAUAUUUGAAUGACUUCCUCAUGAUUAAUUGGAAUGUCUGGCUUGAUGGAGAGUAGCAGAAGGUCAGAGAGCCUCUCAUCAGUACAUAGACUUCGAAGACUGGAUUUCAGAAGUUUUGACUUUGAAAAUGACCUCUCAACCCUAGAAGUGGAUUCUGUGUCAGCAGAAAGGGGAGUCCUCACAACAUGCUGUCUAGUCAUGGUCCUCAUGAGUAUAG
This is a long non-coding RNA of Sinocyclocheilus anshuiensis, 308 nucleotides long. RefSeq lists it as uncharacterized. NCBI's taxonomy places the organism in Eukaryota, Metazoa, Chordata, Actinopteri, Cypriniformes, Cyprinidae. The transcript has 2 exons. The record is from RefSeq and is a predicted model, not a curated record.